RNAcentral lists this unclassified non-coding RNA (981 nucleotides) under Hevea brasiliensis (rubber tree). The record is from RNAcentral. Lineage: Eukaryota; Viridiplantae; Streptophyta; Magnoliopsida; Malpighiales; Euphorbiaceae.
AUGACUUUGACAUAUCUAAAAUAACAGUGAUCAGGACUGAAACUUGCAGACGCUUCUCGUCUUGAGCACUAGCAUUUGCAUCCAUGGAGUUUUAGGAUGGUUGUGAACCCAUUGUUUGGUACAAAAGUUACCUUUGCAUACAACAGCCUCAUUAGAACCCAUGCUUCUUCAUCUCCCUCCCUUGCUCUCACCCUCUUCUCUAACAUGCGCCGAGCUGGCGUCUCGCCUGAUCACUUCACUUUCCCUUUUGCACUCAAGGCCUGCUCUCGCCUCCAAAUGGGUCAAGACCUCCAUUCACUAAUAGUAAAGCUGGGCUUUGAUACUAAUAUUUAUGUACAGAACGCAUUGAUUCAUCUUUAUGGGUAUUGUGGCUUGGUUGAUGUUGCUUUUAAGGUGUUCGACGAAAUGCUUGAUAGAGACCUCGUCUCAUUGUCUUCCAUGAUUGCUUCUUUGGUUAACAAUGGUCUUGCCCAAGACGCUUUGGCUUUGUUUCAAAAAAUGCAACUUGAUGGGAAUGUAAAGCCUGAUGAGGUGGUCAUGCUCAGCGUUGUAUCUGCUAUUUCCAACUUAGGGGUACUAAAAUUGGGUAGGUGGAUUGAUGCUUAUAUUUUCAGAAAUAAGUUGAAACUUACUGUAUCACUGGGUACUGCUCUCAUCAACAUGUAUUCCAGAUGUGGCUCUGUUGAUGAUUCUAUCAGAGUGUUUGAUAAGAUGCCUGAAAGAAACGUGUUAACCUGGACUGCUUUGAUUAGCGGGCUUGCAGUGCAUGGACGAUGCAGGGAGGCUCUUAGAGGGUUCUAUGAGAUGCGAGAAACCAAUUUGCGACCCGAUCAUAUUACAUUUAGUGGUGUUUUAGCAGCAUGCAGCCAUGGUGGUCUUGUUGAUGAUGGCUGGAAAGUUUUCAAAAGCAUUAAGACCGAUUACGGUAUUGAACCCACAGUUGAGCAUUAUGGUUGUAUGGUUGAUCUCCUAGGCCGUGCA